GACGUAGGGCGCGAGCGUUGUCCGGAUUUAUUGGGCGUAAAGAGCUCGUAGGCGGCUUGUUGCGUCGGCUGUGAAAACCCAUGGCUUAACCGUGGGCUUGCAGCCGAUACGGGCAGGCUAGAGUUCGGUAGGGGAGACUGGAAUUCCUGGUGUAGCGGUGAAAUGCGCAGAUAUCAGGAGGAACACCGAUGGCGAAGGCAGGUCUCUGGGCUGACACUGACGCUCAUGCACGAAAGCGUGGGGAGCGAACAGG
This 253-nucleotide ribosomal RNA is filed under the name uncultured bacterium. Its description in RNAcentral is "partial 16S ribosomal RNA". It matches the Rfam family "Bacterial small subunit ribosomal RNA", at positions 524 to 776 of the family's 1533-position model. The record is from RNAcentral.